Molecule: ribosomal RNA, 454 nt
Filed under: uncultured Bordetella sp.
Lineage: Bacteria; Pseudomonadati; Pseudomonadota; Betaproteobacteria; Burkholderiales; Alcaligenaceae
Description: bacterial SSU rRNA
Rfam family: Bacterial small subunit ribosomal RNA
Source: RNAcentral
GCACAAGCGGUGGAUGAUGUGGAUUAAUUCGAUGCAACGCGAAAACCUUACCUACCCUUGACAUGUCCGGAAUCCCGAAGAGAUUUGGGAGUGCUCGCAAGAGAACCGGAACACAGGUGCUGCAUGGCUGUCGUCAGCUCGUGUCGUGAGAUGUUGGGUUAAGUCCCGCAACGAGCGCAACCCUUGCCAUUAGUUGCUACGAAAGGGCACUCUAAUGGGACUGCCGGUGACAAACCGGAGGAAGGUGGGGAUGACGUCAAGUCCUCAUGGCCCUUAUAGGUGGGGCUACACACGUCAUACAAUGGCCGGUACAGAGGGUAGCCAACCCGCGAGGGGGAGCCAAUCCCACAAAGCCGGUCGUAGUCCGGAUCGCAGUCUGCAACUCGACUGCGUGAAGUCGGAAUCGCUAGUAAUCGCGGAUCAGCAUGUCGCGGUGAAUACGUUCCCGGGUCUU